Molecule: long non-coding RNA, 656 nt
Organism: Sebastes umbrosus (honeycomb rockfish)
Lineage: Eukaryota; Metazoa; Chordata; Actinopteri; Perciformes; Sebastidae
Exons: 3
Source: RefSeq, a predicted model, not a curated record
CAAGGCGAGGCCUUAUUAGACCCGGACCAAGGCGAGGCCUUACUAGACCCGGACCAAGGCGAGGCCUUACUAGACCCGGACCAAGGCGAGGCCUUACUAGACCCGGACCAAGGCGAGGCCUUACGAGACCCGGACCAAGGCGAGGCUUUACGAGACCCGGACCAAUGUGAGGCCUUGUGAGGCCUUAUUAGACUCAGCCCUGCCCACUGAGCGCUCCUGUUAGUGCUGUCAGAUGCUCAUAAAGUGGCAGUGAAUGAACUGACAGGGUUUUGUCAGCAGGAGAUGUGAAGUGUGUAGAAUAUUCUGGAGUUGUGUGAAGUGUCUGGGCAAAACUACUGCAAUAUAAUCUCCAGGUUGGGUGCCAGAGGUACCAGGAAAUCUAUCCAAGAGGCGCCUGCAGAAAGAGGCAGGAAAUUGAACCAGUUGACAGAAGAACCCCCUGAAGGCUGGUUCAGAGUCAUUAAGGCCAUUUAGCUCAUCAGCUAGCUCCACCCAAAAGCACAAGCAGCUGAGAUGAGUGACGGCGGGGGUGAACUCCGGAGCGAGUAACGUGAUCGACUUCGGCCCAAGCAGGAAAAGUUAACACAGUGGUUUGUCCGUUCUGGGCUACUGUAGAAAAACAUGGCGGCCGGCUCCGUGAAGAGGACCUGCUCAUU